GAGCACCAGCAUCCACAGCUGCUUGAGGAGGAAACAUCAACAGAAAGCAAAACAAUUAAUCAUCCACUGAUGGAGGAGGAGGAUGAUGAAGAUGGAGGACAGGAGCACCAGUAUCCACAGCAUCCUGAGGAAACAUCAACAGGGGACAGAAAGACUUCUAUUCACCAAAACAAUACAGGAGUGCCAGCAUCCACUGAUGGAGGAGGAGGAUGAAGAAGAUGGAGGACAUUAGCACCAGCAUCCACAGCAUCUUGAGGAGUAAACAUCAACAGAAAGCAAAACAAUCAAAACAAUUAAUGUAAGUAAAGCCUCUCAUUGGCACAGAAAGACACUGAACUAAUGUUUAAUGUAAAAAUAGAGGUGACUUUAUACUAAUGCCUGUAAAAUGUUGGACUGGAACAACGGCAUCUACUGAUGGAGGAGGAGGAUGAUGAUGGAGGACAGGAGCACCAGUAUCCACAGCAUCCUGAGGAGGAAACAUCAACAGAGGACAGAGACUUCUAUUCACCAAAACAAUACAGGAGCACCAGCAUCCACAGCAUCCUGAGGAGGAAACAUUACCAGAGGACAGAAAGACUUCUAUUCACCAAAACAAUCAAUAGUUUUGCUUCAGAGGAGAAUCCGACAGUUCCAGAUGUUCGUCACCAGCACUGCAGUGUUUACACAGACUGCUUUGGUUUCAACUUUCUACAAAAAACUGUUGAAUUUUCAACUCACUUUCCAUCUGAAUCCAAGCUCAUCUUCAUCACUGGGAUGUUUCUUCAUCAGUUCUUCGUACAGACUGACACAGCUCACACAUGGAGAAGAUGAUUUAUGGAAUAUGACAUUUAGAUUUUUCCUUUUCUCAACAGUAUGAUGCAUACAUCCCAACCCAAAUUUCAUGCAUUUUUUUGGCUUAACUUGAGCCAAUUUCCAUCAAUAAAUUGCUAAUGUAUUAUUAUUGACUAUUACUA
Molecule: long non-coding RNA, 953 nt
Filed under: Gouania willdenowi (blunt-snouted clingfish)
Lineage: Eukaryota; Metazoa; Chordata; Actinopteri; Blenniiformes; Gobiesocidae
Description: lncRNA (ENSGWIG00000023165.1)
Source: RNAcentral